Molecule: long non-coding RNA, 388 nt
Organism: Xenia sp. Carnegie-2017
Lineage: Eukaryota; Metazoa; Cnidaria; Anthozoa; Malacalcyonacea; Xeniidae
Exons: 2
Source: RefSeq, a predicted model, not a curated record
AUUUGUGGGUGAUUUGUUCGCUUGAAGAACGGCGACCACGCAACAAGACUAGACGAUAUGAGGAAGUUUAAGGAUCGUGACUAAAGGUCAAGGGGAACAACGCACAAAUCUGAGGCGUUAUGCCGUCUGCAGAAGUUGCAUAAGUUUAGAACAAGGACAUGUACUGAUCAGCAUGUUAUUAGUAAACUAUGUUUCUAGGAAGAACAUUAAAACUACUUUUUACUCCACAAAAUACGUAACCAAAUGCAGAUUUAUUUUAGUCAGCUUCAGGAGUAGCUGGUUCAAUGAACUCAAAUCUUCAUUCUUAAUCGAUCUCAUCUGCAGUCUGUACUUAACCAACAACUCAUUAAAGUAUGCAAAAGUAUGACUACGUGCUUCAAGACUGAAA